UACGGAGGGGGCAAGCGUUGUUCGGAAUUACUGGGCGUAGAGGGCGCGCAGGCGGCUGCUCAAGUCAGGCGUGAAAGGCCUGGGCUCAACCCGGGAAUUGCGCUUGAGACUGGGCUGGCUUGAGUGCGGGAGAGGAUGGUGGAAUUCCCAGUGUAGAGGUGAAAUUCGUAGAUAUUGGGAAGAACACCGGUGGCGAAGGCGGCCAUCUGGACCGCAACUGACGCUGAGGCGCGAAAGCCAGGGGAGCAAACGGG
RNAcentral lists this ribosomal RNA (254 nucleotides) under uncultured bacterium. RNAcentral describes it as "partial 16S ribosomal RNA". It matches the Rfam family "Bacterial small subunit ribosomal RNA", at positions 524 to 776 of the family's 1533-position model. The record is from RNAcentral.